This 465-nucleotide ribosomal RNA is filed under the name uncultured bacterium. Its description in RNAcentral is "partial 16S ribosomal RNA". It matches the Rfam family "Bacterial small subunit ribosomal RNA", at positions 28 to 507 of the family's 1533-position model. The record is from RNAcentral.
GACGAACGCUGGCGGCGUGCUUAACACAUGCAAGUCGAACGGAAAGGCCCUGCUUGCAGGGUACUCGAGUGGCGAACGGGUGAGUAACACGUGGGUGAUCUGCCCUGCACUUCGGGAUAAGCCUGGGAAACUGGGUCUAAUACCGGAUAUGACCUUCCAUGUAGUGUGGGGGGUGGAAAGAUUUAUCGGUGUGGGAUGAGCCCGCGGCCUAUCAGCUUGUUGGUGGGGUAAUGGCCUACCAAGGCGUCGACGGGUAGCCGGCCUGAGAGGGUGGACGGCCACAUUGGGACUGAGAUACGGCCCAGACUCCUACGGGAGGCAGCAGUGGGGAAUAUUGCACAAUGGGCGGAAGCCUUAUGCAGCGACGCCGCGUGGGGGAUGACGGCCUUCGGGUUGUAAACCUCUUUCGACAGGGACGAAGCUUCGGUGACGGUACCUGCAUAAGAAGCACCGGCUAACUACGUG